This 399-nucleotide ribosomal RNA is filed under the name uncultured eukaryote. RNAcentral's name for it is "SSU rRNA". It matches the Rfam family "Eukaryotic small subunit ribosomal RNA", at positions 587 to 972 of the family's 1831-position model. The record is from RNAcentral.
AGCUCCAAUAGCGUAUAUUUAAGUUGUUGCAGUUAAAAAGCUCGUAGUCGAAAUUUUGAGAUUUAAUCUAGACUCGGUCUGCCGGGAUGGUGUGUACUAGUUUAGAUUGUCUCUUCCUUCUGGUUUGCCACUCUUUGCUCUUAACUGGGUGAGGAGUCCUUUGGCUCCAGAUCUUUUACUUUGAAAAAAUUAGAGUGUUUAAAGCAGGCAAUUUUACGCCUUGAAUAGUACAGCAUGGAAUAAUGAAAUAGGACCUUGUAUCCAAUUUUGUUGGUUUUUGAAUGCAAGGUAAUGAUGAAUGGAGACAGUUGGGGGUAUUCAUAUUUAAUUGUCAGAGGUGAAAUUCUUGGAUUUAUGAAAGAUGAACUUCUGCGAAAGCAUUUAUCAAGGAUGUUUUCA